Molecule: long non-coding RNA, 547 nt
Organism: Asterias rubens (European starfish)
Lineage: Eukaryota; Metazoa; Echinodermata; Asteroidea; Forcipulatida; Asteriidae
Exons: 3
Source: RefSeq, a predicted model, not a curated record
AAUCAUGUCGAGGUACUGCAGACAACAUCAUUCUGUACCUAACAAGUAUGCAUAAUUACUCGGGAAGUUUAAAAAUGGGCCAAAUUUUUACAGGGAUUUUGUACGCCAAAGAGUAUUUGAACAGAGAACAGCUGAAUGUUAAGAGUCAACCUAGGUCAAGUGGUCAGACUGCAACCAAAAGUUACGUUAGCUACCUAGCUCUGUGACUCAUAGCAAGCAGAGGGGAAGAAGUCAGCAUGGACUGCAUAUGACGUUAGAGCACCUGGGGUGAUUAUUAUCUGACUUGGGGUACUUGCUCAGGGAGGUAGAACUCUUCAGCUGUCGACGGAAUUCGGGGUACAGACGUGACUCUUCGCUGUUUGAUAUCACCACCGAUCGUUAUUAGCAAACUAUGUGUAAAAUGCAUAGAUGUAAAGGGACGCGAAGGUUGGGACACGAAGAUUCUUUCCACUAUACUGGGGAUAUGUUGUAACUGGGUUAAACGCGUCAACAACAUACCGGGUGACCCUGUGAGGAUGUUCUGGCUUAGAUUUAAAGGAAGUGGACA